RNAcentral lists this unclassified non-coding RNA (435 nucleotides) under uncultured fungus. RNAcentral describes it as "partial contains small subunit ribosomal RNA, internal transcribed spacer 1, and 5.8S ribosomal RNA". The stretch from base 1 to 73 matches the Rfam family "Eukaryotic small subunit ribosomal RNA", at positions 1759 to 1831 of the family's 1831-position model. The record is from RNAcentral. Lineage: Eukaryota; Fungi.
GCAAACUUGGUCAUUUAGAGGAAGUAAAAGUCGUAACAAGGUUUCCGUAGGUGAACCUGCGGAAGGAUCAUUAACAAAUUAUCCAAUCAUAUGGAUGGUUAAAAAUCCAUAUCCACCUUCGUGUGCACAUCAUUGACAAGUUUGCUUUGGCAGCUUUGUUCUUUUGCGGGGGGAAAAGGGAGUGGGGGGAAGGUUUGGCGGGGGGGAAAGAGAGAAAAUAAAAAUCUUCUCCACCCCCCCCCCCUCCUUUCUAACCCCUCUUCCUUCCUUCCUGACGCUGCCAGAGUUUUUUUCUUUUUCACCUUGAGAAACUUUUGCUUCCAGAGGAAAGCAAAGCCUUGAAAACAUCAAAUUUUUUUUGGGAAAACCAAAAAGAAAUCCAAUACAACUUUCAACAACGGAUCUCUUGGCUCUCGCAUCGAUGAAGAACGCAGC